RNAcentral lists this long non-coding RNA (1530 nucleotides) under Sus scrofa (pig). RNAcentral describes it as "lncRNA (ENSSSCG00040027245.1)". The record is from RNAcentral. Lineage: Eukaryota; Metazoa; Chordata; Mammalia; Artiodactyla; Suidae.
AUUUGAGAACUAGGCUGUUUGUCAGGUUUUGGGAAAUUAAUCUUCUUUGACUCCUGCCCUAUUUCUUCAUGUACUGAUUUAGUGCCUAAAAAGGAACCACCAGAAUCACAUUUCCUUCUUCAUAUUUCAAAGUGUUUUUCUUGCAAGUCCUUCCCUACAAAAUCACCAAAAGCCAGAAAGCUUUGGGCUCUAAGGAGGGCCUGAUUCUGCGGCUCUCUUUCCCCUAGUUUAAGUUACAUCUGAUAGCUAAGAUACAAAAGGCUCACAUUUUAGAAAUCCAAUUUACACCAGUAAAUCUGUAAGACAAUAGCUGGUUACUUUAUACCUACCGAUCUCCCUUUCGGCAUAUUUGUUCCCUCCAGCUAGUUCAAAAUGCUGCUGCUAUCAACCUCUUCCCUGCCAGAUAACGCUGAGGCCCAAGUCCCUCUGAAUUCUCUCCUUGCUCCUUUAGAAGGCUCACCCUAGUUCUCUAACGGCCCUCGUCUGACCUCUCACCCCUCUACCACCUCCCACCACAGAGGAACUGGAUGGCCACUCAAGGUCUCCAAAGGGACAUGUGCGUAUCCUGCCAAGGUUCUGUUGAACUUGGGAAGGCAGAGAGGAGGCCAAGCAGUAUCAGACAGGACAGAACGCUCUGCUCACCGGCACAGUAAGCUGGAUGAGAGCAUCGUCUUUGGAAUUAGGGAGGGUUGAGUUUGGGCUCUGUCCCAUCCCAGCUGUGAUCCCCUGGGCAUGGCAUUUACCUUCUCCGAGUCUCAGUUACACCAGCCCUUAAAAAGGGGUGGUGCUGAUAGCAGUACCGGUUCUCAGAUCAAUGAGGAUUAAAUGGGCUAAGGACCGCUCAGAGGCACUGUGAACAGAGAGCACUCAGGUGGGCAGGAAAGACGCCUGAAACUGUCCCCACAGGCACCUCCAGCCCUGAGAGCACAAAUACUGAGUUCUUCCCCUACCUCUUCCUACUUCACAGCCUGCGUUCGCCCAAGCCCCUCUGCUUCAACAAACCCUUUCCUCCCCACACUCAGAAGCGCUUCUUCCAUUUUCUGAGUUUCGAUGAGAACUCUGACCACUUCUCCCUUUUCUGCAGGGCUGCGCCAUCCACACGGAACUCAGCAGCGUCUUGUGCACUGGGUCCCAAACAGGCUACCUCGCUUUGGGACCUGCACCGCCUGAGCUGGAGUCUGAUCACAAGGUUGAGAGCCACGGUUGUAGAAACUGCGUCCCCACAUCACUGUUACGUUUCUACUGAGAAAGCAGACUGGAAACACACAUGCAAGUCUUGCCUGACAGCUCCAUGUGUGACAGGCACCUUCAAGACUUGGACCUGACUACCUGUGACCAACAGGGUAAGUCACACACUCUACACUUUAGCUUCCUCUGCUCUAAGGUGGAGAUAAUUAUACCAAAAAUUUAGGGCUGCUGUAAGAAUUCAGGUACCUAAUGCAUACCUAGUGCUUAGCCCAGUGCCUGGCACAUGGUGAAGUAUUCAGAAACUUCGAGCUAUUACGAAUAAAUAUAUACAGCCGGAGUCCA